UGGGUAUGAUCUGUGGGGGAUGGCAUGAAGAAGGCAGUCACCUUGAAGAACAAAAAGGCAGAGCCAGGGUUUCUUGAAACAGAUUUUGACACGUCUUUUUGCAGCCUAGGGAAGGGUAAUAGAACAGUUCACUGUGAUUUGCUGAAUAACCUGGAACAGUGUGCCAGAGAACUAUAAGUAAGAAAGGCACACGGUUAUAUUUCAAAGUAUUACAGCAUUAAAUCCAACUUCCUGCUCCUUUCAUGAAAAAAACCCUUCAGAUUCUGCUUUAUAAAUAUUCAGAAGAUCUUGUAACAGCAACUAAGAUGCUGUAGUGUAAGUCCUUUUGAACCACCUUUAUGGACCUUUAAAAUGAGAAUGAACUUUGGAUUUACCCUCUGGAAUACAGUGCUGGGAAAGCUCAGGAACUAUCAUCUUCUAUCCUGAAGUCCAAAAAAUCUGUAACAUCCAUGAAGCACAGAAGCAAUGCUUCUAAAGAAAAAUCUGUAUUCUGGUGGAAAACUUAUUUAAUUUUUUUUUUUUUCAAACACCACAUGUACACAGUUCCCAUGCCGCAGUCUAUUACAUAGAGGCAAAGUUUUUGAAAUGAAAAUGUCUGACAGAGUAAAGAUCUCUGAUCAAGGGCUUAUUUCAGGGAUUUUAAUGUGCUGAGAAUUAAGAGGUUGCAUUGGCUAAAAAGGCAGAGCUGUCACUCCCUCUCUUUGCAAUAUCAGACCAUUCUUUAGGCAUUUCUUAGACCAUAUGUGGCUUCAACAACCUUAUCUUAGUAUAAAAAUCUGAGAUCACUGAACAAAAAUUAGAGUCCAAGCUUAGAUAAGGGUAACACUUCCAGAGAUCAAUCAACUAGUCCAUUAUAUAGUGUGUGAGGCUAAAGAAAUUAUAGUCAUAGAUCAAGGCUGGGAAAAAAAGUAUUAAAGAAUUUACAAUCAGUGUGGUUGAUAAGACCUUUUUAGCAGUGUUACCUAAACAAACACAGAAAAAGUCAACUGAAGCUUUUUAUUUGAAUAUGGAUUUAAUAUUUCAUGUGGUGUUAACUGAUACCAAUAUUUUGGUAUGUGUUUAGGCAUAACUCAGUAAAGAGAUUCUGGGCUUAUCCAUCUCCUGUAGCCAAAGAUAUUAUGCUCUUCAGGAGUCUUGGCUGUUACAGCAUUUCUACCAAUUCAGUACACAUAUCAUUUCAUUCUGCAAAUAUACAACAUAAGAAAAAAGUGGGAGAAAAUUAAUAGUGACUGAAAGAAUCCUAAGUAGUCCAUGAAUAACUAAAGUGGGGAAUUGGUGAAAUUGUCAUAGUCAUCAGAGGGUAAAGCUCUAAAUGGUUUUACAAGGAAAGCAGUGAGAGAAUAUGGCAACCAGUUUUAAAAUGUAACCACAAAAAUUGCUGAACAAGGAUGUUUGGAGUGAUUGCUUAGAUGAGAUCACUCUGGAAAAUCCUUUAACCAUCUUAAGAAAUAAAAUUGCAAAUAGUUUUUUUCUCUUUGUUUAAAGUCCUAUAAAAAAAAUAGAUAAAAAUGCCCACCCAGCACACUGUUAUGAUUAAAUAAAAUGGACAGACCUUUUUAUAUUGGACACUUUUUCUUACACAAAAUGCAAAUUCAUGAACUGAACAGCUGCAUGAAAAAUAUAUUUUUGUAUAUAUUAACCCUAUAAUUAUUAGUAAAUGCAUAUUGUGUUUUGUGUGUGUUCCAUCUAUAUGUGUAGAAUAUUAUGGGCUUUAUAUACUAGAUAUAUAGCUUGCAUAUGAAGCAUGAAUUUAUAUGUCAGGAGACAUGGAACUGAGCAGUACAGAUCAGGUAAUACAAGAGAAAAGUUACCUUACUGUGGAGUCUCCUUGCUCAUGAUAUUUUGCCAUCUUUUGGUCCUCACAACCUAUCAGCUCCCCACUCUAAAUCUCUGGCUGUAGAGGUUAGGUGAUAAGGCAGGCUAUCCACUGCUUUUCUUCACCUACUUGUAUUUUUAAGGCAGUGUUAGUAAGGGGAAAUGUGGGUUAUGCACGUGGAAACACAAAGGAGUGUUUUAGCUUCUUGCUGCUUUAUUUUUAUUUUGUCCUUUUGUGUGUGUUCAUAUAAGACCACUAAAGGGAUUUUAGGCUAUGACUGUCAGAGAAAUUUCUAUUUCCAGAGACGAUGCUAGAUAUAAGAAAUAAUUAGAAUGUAAGAAAACUAAAUCGAAACAGAUUCAUUUGCAAAGAAGCAACCAAAGCUGUCAAACGACAGCCUUCACAGAAUCAUCUGUGAAACAUUCACUUUGAAGUUCACCAGCAAAUGAAAUAAUAGUCUGUUAAGGGGAUUGUGAUUUAGCCAAGGGUGUGCUGGCCUGCUGGUGACUGACAUCUGAUAAGCAGUAAAACUGCACUACACUUCAAGUGGUGGGUUCUUGCUUUCAGUCUGAUGAGGUUAUCUUAUAGCCAAGUCACUUCAUAGUUCUCUUUUCUGCUACUCUCAGACUGAAAAGCUGCAAGAUUUGUUCUUACUCUCUUAAUCCUGGAAAUGAAAUUUUUGGGGAGGAUGUGUAGAUGUAACACAUAAGAAAGAGUUUUAAUUUCAUGUAAUUUCUUGUAUAUUUUAGAAGAAAUUUAAAGACCUGUCUGUUCUGCAAUUACUCUUGACAGAGUAUGACAAUAAAAAGUUUCACGAGGCCUACCAGAGAGAAAGAAACUAAACUGAAAGGGGCUUAAGUUCUUCUAAACACUCACAAAAAAAAAACAAACAAACAAACAAAAAAAAAAAACAAAACAAAACAGGAAUACAGUGAUAUACAGUGAUUGUGUGGCUUUUUGUCAGGGUGAGGAAAAAUGAUUUAUGUGUUUACACUACAAUCAAGAACGUUUUCAUCACUUGUGUAAUACAAUGUUAUCUCGAUAAACUAUUCUGUGAACUUAACAGAAGAACAUACCUUUCAGUGAAAAAGUUAGUAACUUUAACCAAGAUGUCACCUGAGAUGUCAAAAAGAAAGUCGGGAUGUGUCUCUUUUAAAAUAGUGUCAAUUUAAUUUGUCUGUGAAGUUAGUUGGAAAAAAAUGUAUCAUUCAGAAUAAAAAUGGAUUCAAUUCUAUCAGUCAAGGGUCUAAAACCAAAAUCUAAUGCAAUUUUGGCUUUUUACUUAGGAAAACAAAAUUAAAUUGAGGUUUUGUACCACUCGAAACAUGGUACCAUAAGUCUCAUGCCUGAAGUUAUCCAGAACGCUUUCACCAUAGCCUCUUUAGGUCAGCCCUGCAGGACAUUUCCACAGUGCUUGUAUCCAUGUAGAAAUCUUUUCUUCUUUUCUGAGGUGGUAAAAGUAUCAGACAUGCUAUCAUUAAAAAAUAUUAAUGCAAAAAUGCAAGUGCUGAAUUGAAUAUGAGUUGCUGCUAUUGUACGACUCUUGAAACCAGGUCAUGCCCAUCUACAGAGAAAACAAGUUUACCUGUGGGUAGAUUUGUCAAAUGCUUUAGGUAUGUUCAAUUCUUGAACACAGGGGUACUUUGGUAUAGACAAAAUCUUCAUUUGACUAAACAACUUCAAUCUUGUCGGUUAUCAUGGUAAGGAUGAGAAUUUUCUCGUCCUGUGUUGUUUGCAUAAUAAGACUGAAAGGUGCAUUUCAGGAGUCAGUGAACAUUUCCCGGGAGAUAGGUUAUCACAUAAGAUGAGCUCUCUAACAAUUUUGAUACUAAAAUUUCUAUAAAUUUUAACUAGCUUAGGCUUUUCCAUCCUCCACUUAUCUUCCUCUCAAACACAUACCCUGUUGGUAUACUUUCUCUCUAUGGAGAAAUACAUGUUUAUGCUAAGAAAAAAUUAAACCACCUGGUAUAAAAAUAGUUGUUAAAAGACCUGACAAUUUAUUUCACACUGCAUUCUAGUGAGACAAAAGUAAAGCACAGACAAAAUAACACUUCCUUUUGCAGAUAUGAAAACAAUUUCACUGGAAAUAGGUUCUGUCAUAGCACUUGAUAAAAUCUUUCAUAUUGUGAAAAGUAAGCCCUUUUUCUCUUUUUUUUUUUAUUUUCUGGAAUCCUGUUUCCAGGCAAAAAGAUGCAAAGUUCUGCCAAAUAUAGUGACUUAUAAUUUUGUUAAAAAAAAAAAAAUGUUGGUUUGGGGUUUUGGCUUGGCUAGUUUGUUUUGGUGGUUGAUUGGUUGGUUUGUUGGGGUUUUUUUUAAUGUGGGCAUUUUACAACAUUUCAGGUGGUGUUUAUCCAGCUUGAAUCCAGCUUGUCUAGGAUUUUUAUCUUCAGCUUUAAAAAUCUAGCAUCAACACUGAAACUCGUAGAUUUUUGGUCUGAGUUUUUCAUCUUAGAACACAGAUGAUAAUGCCAUUGAAAUUAUGUGUUAUUUGUGUCCAUUUUACAUUAAAAAUGUCAUCUAUAAUUUAACAUAUUGAUGAGACACAGCUUGUUCACUGGUCUAGUUCAGUUCCCGCUCUAGAAAUUUUCUUAACAAUAAAUUAAUUAAUAUAGAUAACAAGUGUAAAUAUUUAGUCAUAUCUGCUAAGAUAUGCUUGAGUAAUAAAAUUAUCCCAGGAAACAAACAAGUUAAAUUUUAAUAAAUAUGACAGUAGUUAAUCAGUGCUUUCACAAAUGGGAGCAAACAUUGGAAAGUGACUAGAGGGAA
This is a long non-coding RNA of Corvus hawaiiensis (hawaiian crow), 4582 nucleotides long. RefSeq lists it as uncharacterized. The transcript has 3 exons. NCBI's taxonomy places the organism in Eukaryota, Metazoa, Chordata, Aves, Passeriformes, Corvidae. The record is from RefSeq and is a predicted model, not a curated record.